RNAcentral lists this small RNA (180 nucleotides) under Sinorhizobium meliloti 2011. Its description in RNAcentral is "putative ncRNA". The record is from RNAcentral. Lineage: Bacteria; Pseudomonadati; Pseudomonadota; Alphaproteobacteria; Hyphomicrobiales; Rhizobiaceae.
AAUACCCACAGGGCAGAACCAUCCUGCCUCAAUCCGCUUUGGCGGUGGAGAUGAUCUCCGCCAGAACCCCGUGCAGGGCGUCGCGAUAGCCGUUGCGUGCCGAGGGGCCGCUUUCAUCCGACGUCAUGACCACCGUCAGGUUCAGGGACGGCACUAUGUAGAGCAUCUGGCCGCCAUAGC